RNAcentral lists this ribosomal RNA (484 nucleotides) under uncultured bacterium. RNAcentral's name for it is "partial 16S ribosomal RNA". It matches the Rfam family "Bacterial small subunit ribosomal RNA", at positions 29 to 523 of the family's 1533-position model. The record is from RNAcentral.
AGUGAACGCUGGCGGCGUGCUUAACACAUGCAAGUCGAACGAGAACGGAUUAUAGCUUGCUAUAAUUGUCAGCUAAGUGGCGCACGGGUGAGUAAUGUAUAGGUAAUAUGCCUCUUACUAAGGGAUAACAAUUGGAAACGAUUGCUAAUACCUUAUACUCCUUAUUAACAGAAGUUAAUAAGGGAAAGAUUUAUUGGUAAGAGAUUAGCCUGUAUUGUAUCAGUUAGUUGGUGGGGUAAUAGCUUACCAAGACUAUGACACAUAACUGGUUUGAGAGGAUGAUCAGUCACACUGGAACUGAGACACGGUCCAGACUCCUACUGGAGGCAGCAGUGGGGAAUAUUGCACAAUGGACGAAAGUCUGAUGCAGCAACGCCGCGUGGAGGAUGACACAUUUCGGUGCGUAAACUCCUUUUAUAUGAGAAGAUAAUGACGGUAUUAUAUGAAUAAGCACCGGCUAACUCCGUGCCAGCAGCCGCGGUAA